UUCAAUUUCCUUCUUUUCACUUCCUCCUUCCUCUUUAAACCUUUCUUUAUCAUCUUCUUCAACCCCAAGAAACUUCGAAUCUUCUCGUUUUGUUCGUAAAGUAACCCUUUCUGAUUUUGACCAAAUUGAGGAAGUUGAGGCUGGUGAUGAUGAUGAGGAGGAGGGGGGUUUGAGUGAUGAAGGUGCUUCAUAUGAAGAACGUAAUGCCAAUCCUGACCUUAAAAUCUUUGUUGGUAAUUUGCCUUUCAGUGUUGACAGUGCGGCUCUUGCUGAGCUUUUUGAGCGUGCUGGAGAUGUUGAAAUGGUUG
This 308-nucleotide long non-coding RNA is filed under the name Solanum tuberosum (potato). RNAcentral's name for it is "long non-coding RNA (STUB_LNC008730)". The record is from RNAcentral. Lineage: Eukaryota; Viridiplantae; Streptophyta; Magnoliopsida; Solanales; Solanaceae.